GCCCGCCCCCCGUCCUGAUUGGACGGCGCUACGGGACCAUGCGUCCUGAUUGGUUCGUCUUCCGGACCCCGCCCCCUCAGAGACCGGGCCUGCGGUUGCCCACCCACAGUGCCUCCGCGCCUCCGCACCGCCCCUGCCCCCCCUGAUUGGACAAUCCUCCCAGACCCUGCCCCUUGCGUCCUGAGUGACAGGUCAUUCGGACACACGUGUCUGGCCAGCGUGGGCUUAGAGCUGAGACCGCUCCCUGCGGUUGGACCUCCGGCGCCUGCAGCUCGGCCACCCAUCCUGCCUGCGUCCUCCUCCUGGACCGUGAGAUCCCGACUCAGUUUCCCUGCGGAGCGCCCCUUGUCGGGAGCUUGGACAGGAGGGGACAGACGGGAGGGGCUGUAGGAGGAAGUGUUCCAGGAGGAGGUGGAAUUGCAAUUGACAAAAGUCAAAAGUUCACGGUGUUCUGAAAAUUGAAACAGGGGACGUGCGCAGUCCCUGCUUCCUGAAUGUCCUUCCGACUGUAUUUUGAGUGACUCUUUUAGGGCUAUCUUCACUGAGUCGUCUUUCACACUCUGCAAGGAACUGUUUUUCAGAUCUCUAGCGCAUUUUGUAAAAUUAAAGGCUACGAUAUCCUGAAGGCAAUUGAAUUCCUAUUUUAACUGAUUUAAAAGUAAUAAAAGCUGAAAAAAAUGAAAUGAAAUAAAAGCAUUAAAAGCUGAAAUAAAUUUAUGUUGGACCUGAAACACUAAAUACAUCAGCAGCAUGUAAUACGACUGCUCAUUUCAAAAAUACCCGCCCAGCGUUGGGUAGAGAAGUGUAAACUCCAGCAUCAUCGACGCUGUUACUUACAAACAUAAUUAUAAAAAUUAAUUUUCUCUGUUUUGCAAAAAGGUAUUAUUCACUUUCACAAAAAUGAGUCUUCAGGGUGUUAAGAAAUAAAAUUCAUCUCAGCACA
This is a long non-coding RNA of Neofelis nebulosa (Clouded leopard), 943 nucleotides long. RefSeq lists it as uncharacterized. The transcript has 2 exons. The record is from RefSeq and is a predicted model, not a curated record. Lineage: Eukaryota; Metazoa; Chordata; Mammalia; Carnivora; Felidae.